AAAAACAUGGCUCUUUGGAAUCUUUAUAUGAAGAGUCGGGCCUGCCCAGUGAUAGUAUUUAACGGCCGCGGUACUCUGACCGUGCAAAGGUAGCAUAAUCAUUUGCCUUAUAAUUAAGGGCUUGUAUGAAUGGUCUGACAAGAGUAUUACUGUCUCUUUAAAAAUUUAUAAAAUUUGGUUUUUAGGUGAAGAAACCUAAAUAUAAUUGAAAGACAAGAAGACCCUAUCGAGCUUUAAAACAAUGAAUUAAAGAAUAUAAAUAUAAAAAUUAAUUUUAAUUUAAAAUUUUGGUUGGGGCGACUGAGGAACAUAUAAAGCUUCUUUUAUUAAAAAAUGCAUAUAAGCUAUGAUCCAAAGAAAUUUGAUUAAAAAAAUUAGUUACCGUAGGGAUAACAGCAUAAUCUUUUUUGAGAGCUCUUAUCGAAAAAAAGGUUUGUGACCUCGAUGUUGGACUAGGAUACCCUAAUAGAUGCAGAAGUCUUUAAAGGUUGGUCUGUUCGACCACUAAUAUCCUACGUGAU
This 521-nucleotide ribosomal RNA is filed under the name Blanfordia japonica simplex. RNAcentral describes it as "partial 16S ribosomal RNA". It matches the Rfam family "Bacterial large subunit ribosomal RNA", at positions 1809 to 2604 of the family's 2925-position model. The record is from RNAcentral. Lineage: Eukaryota; Metazoa; Mollusca; Gastropoda; Littorinimorpha; Pomatiopsidae.